AGUUUAUUUCAGAUGCCUAUGAUGUUUAACACCAGUGAGCAAAUGACCUUGGUAUGUACAAGAUAUCUGUAAAAUCCGUUCUGUAGUUUGCCAAUGUCCAUUGUUUUUGUGUGUUGUUUUUCAUUUUUGCUUAUUUAAAAUAUGUUUCUCUGGGUCAUAGCAUUGCAUAGAUGACUAUACAGUAAUAAUAUAAAAUGGGAUAAAAAUAGAAAAUUCCAGAAUCAGGGCAUAGUUCCCAAGCAUCAUGUAUCUGGCGGAGGUAGUGCUGGUGGAAAACUCACAGGAUGCAGCAAUAAGAAAACACAUACCCUAUGCUAAUCUCUCGCUUUUAUCUGUUAAGCAUAUCCAUAUCACCUAACAGCUGCAUCCAGUGAUGCAAGACGUAGGUAGGCGAGGUAAAAGGGUGGGCCACUGACGCAAAUCAAGUAACCGGCAGCAUUCAAAGGGCUGGCCUUGCAUAUGCAUGCAAGGCUGCCCACCAAUCACACAGGCUGGCCAACUAAGGGCAUACUAAGCAGACAGUGCCCUGAGCUUGGCAAUAAUGCUAAUGAUAUGUUCACCCUACCCUUUCUGAGGACGGUCCCCUAGCACUCACUUGUCCACUCCUCUCUUUACCUUCUUAGGAGCAAACGGAAGCUCCUGGUAUGCAAUCUGGAACAGAGAACAUGGAUUUAGUAAGUGUAGAAGAAAGGGGACAUGAAACAGUGUUAGAGAGACCAAAGCAGCAAGAGCAUUUGCAUAGUGCGCAAAGUCAGUACUUAAUUGCCUCAACAGAAAGCAAGAACAUGUUAAAAGCAGUAAAAAUAAAUAAAUCCAUAGAUAUGGGCCCGGAGCUACAGCUCCAUUAGCCCCUAUAUUUAUCCGGCCCUGCCCAGAAUGGAAAGAAAAGAGACAUGCGAGAAUUUCAUGUGGCAGCAUGGAGAGAAAAAUAGCGGCACAUGUUAGUAGUGAUUCAGCGUACUGUGGUUUAUACACUAAUGUGUAAUCUUUGGUGAAGUGUCAGCAAAGACCUAAAAUGUAAGAGGAUAAAUUAUAUUGGAUCAUAUGGAUGACACCAAUCACUUGAUUACCUAGUUUCUCUUUAGUUUUGUAAAUAUUUUAAAUAUUAUAUUGGCUGUUUAGGAGCAUCAGUUAGGAGUUUAAUAAAAAGUUUAAAUUCUUUAGAUAACAAGAUUCCAAUGAUGAGCAGGACACAGAAUAAUAAAACUUUUAAUGGAUAGACUUGUGUGAGAAGGUUAUAUAUAUAUGUUUGCAUGGGAAGGGUUGGAUUGGGAAAGUGACAUAGGGAAAAAGAGUGCUUGUCGGAUGAGAGAGGCAAUGUUACAUGUGUUGGAAGGGAAUGGGCAAGUCGUAUAUGAAAGACAAAAUGAGCAAUGACAUAGGAGCAAUAGGAUAAGUAAAUUACAUGGAGAGGGAGAAUUGUGUAAACAAAAGUAACUGACAUGAAAAUGAAGAUACUAAAGCCAAGGACGGGAAUAUCAUAUAUUAUAUUAUAAUGCAUCUGUUACGGUAAUGAACUGCAUGGCAACUGCAAGACAAUUAUAGCAAAAUAUGUCAAAAACAAUCAAUUCUGCAGAUAAAGAGUGGGGUGGCUUUUAUUCUGAAUAAAGUUUAAGGCAUUGCUGACAUGAAAAGACAAAUAGGCGAUGUAGCAUAGUGUGUUUAAUACAGUUGAGCAGAUUUGGUAUGAUCUCACAACAUAACAGACAUCAUUAAAGAAGAGUGAAUGCGGAAAGUGAAGAAACCCAAGAAGAGAUAGAACGGUCUAUUUUUUCAGAAGAUGGUAAAGUAACACUUUAAAUCACAUCCUGUUUGUUACAUCAGCCUACCAUAUACCAAAACUCCUGCAGUACAAAAAUGAUAGCUUAAAGGGAGUAAUGGCCUUCUAUACCUCAAUCAUCAGGUAAAAAGUCCCUGCAGGUGCAACAGUCCCCAAUGGAGGUGGGGCCAACUGUGGCGAGACCAACGAGGCAUUGGGGAAAAAAGGUAAGCUAAAUACCAUUUUACUCAAUUCUGGAGUGUGUAUGCGGACAUCUAUGUAGUUAGUCGAGCAUUAUAGCGUUCCUUUAAUCUGUGUCUCCAGAAUAGAAUGUAACAGGUGGAAGAAAUGAUUAGUAAACAAUAAAAAUAUGUUAAUAAAAAAAAACUUUGUUGAUAAACAAUUUGCUAGGUCAGCACUUUUUCCAGCUGAGGGUCUUUGGCAUAAAUGUUGCUAUUGUCAAUUCACUGUAAUUUGUUGUUUUAGGAAUUAAACCGUUUUGGGGUUUUUUUUGUUCCAAGGGCAAAUUAUCUCACUAGUGCAGGAAAGUGUUUACUUACUGUAUUACAAUCAUUGUUUCAGCAUGUUUAUUAUUGAAUCUUAACCUGACAUUAAUACUGAAAUCCGAUAUUUCACAGGAGUUGGGCUACUGCAGUCAGUCUAGUAAAUGGAAAAGUAAAAGAAUCGUGUAAGAAGAAAGUUAUGUACAGAUCAAAUAUGUUAUUCAUAAGCACAGUUAUGGCACAGAUCCAGAUGAAACAAUGUAAUUACCUGUCCUGAAGCAAUUGG
RNAcentral lists this long non-coding RNA (2548 nucleotides) under Pelobates cultripes (western spadefoot toad). The record is from RNAcentral. Lineage: Eukaryota; Metazoa; Chordata; Amphibia; Anura; Pelobatidae.